This 253-nucleotide ribosomal RNA is filed under the name uncultured bacterium. RNAcentral's name for it is "partial 16S ribosomal RNA". It matches the Rfam family "Bacterial small subunit ribosomal RNA", at positions 524 to 776 of the family's 1533-position model. The record is from RNAcentral.
UACGAAGGGGGCUAGCGUUAUUCGGAAUUACUGGGCUUAAAGGGUUUGUAGGCGGCCUUGUAAGUCAGGUGUGAAAGCCCUCGGCUCAACCGAGGAACAGCGCUUGAUACUGCAAGGCUUGAGGGAGACAGAGGUAAGCGGAACUGAUGGUGGAGCGGUGAAAUGCGUUGAUAUCAUCAGGAACACCGGUGGCGAAAGCGGCUUACUGGGUCUCUUCUGACGCUGAGGAACGAAAGCUAGGGUAGCGAAUGGG